This is a long non-coding RNA of Helianthus annuus (common sunflower), 1249 nucleotides long. RefSeq lists it as uncharacterized. Lineage: Eukaryota; Viridiplantae; Streptophyta; Magnoliopsida; Asterales; Asteraceae. The record is from RefSeq and is a predicted model, not a curated record. The transcript is spliced from 7 exons.
UCUUUCUUUCUUUCUUUCUUUCCUUCUUUCUUUCUUUCUGAUGUUCAUCCUUCUCCUUCUUCACAUUUUCAUCUCCUCAACAACGUCCAGCAGAGGUUACUUCUAUUGGAUACAUCUGCGUUUGAAAGCCUAAAUCAUGUACCGUCGAGUAGUUGAAGAACAGAAUAUUCAUAAGAAGAAGAAGCUCUCCUAGGGUUUCUUAUCGUACACAACGAACCCUUUUGUACAAGCUCCUGUUAAUCGGUGACACUGAAGUAGCUCUGCCGGAUCGUUGUUGGGGAGAUGGAAAUGUGAAAGAGAAGGAGAAGGACGCAAGUUCUACUUCAAUAUUCAUGUGGCAACUUUAUAUUUGCAGGCUUGUGAAUUAAGGUCUGUUGAUAGGUGAUAACAGCCCAAAAGUUUAGGCUUCAUCGCUUUUUGUGCAUGAUUGAGAUCAGUCAGACCGUGUACUAUAAGUCAUUGAAUGUUUUAAUCUUACAAUCAGUUUUACUUUGUUUUUUAAGAAGGUGCUGUUGUCAUGGACAUCGAGGUGAUUUCCCAUGCUAUGUGACUUUUUUGAGUAAUAAUAUAGUUAAAUCUCUUCUUUUGCCAUAUAAUUGUCGCAUCAUCUUCUUCCUUCUUCAUUGCACAACCCUAAGAUCACCCGUCAUCUCAAUUUGAGCAAUUAAAAGGAGUUUUCUUAAUCAGCACCGUACACUUUUUGCUGUUAGUUCCACGUGUUUUUUCAGAUUAACUGUUGCUAUAUAUACAUAUAUUGGUUUUGUUUUGAUGAAAAGGGAAAACGUUCGAGAUGUUUGACCCAAGAACCGAAGAAAAGAUAGCGGAUAUUGCUGAAGGAGAUAAAGAUGAUGUUGAUCUGGCUGUUGAAGCUGCACAUUGAUCCACAAUAAGCACUGCCCAUCUAAGUUUCCUCCAAUGACAGUGGUUAUAACAAGUUAAUAAGGCAAAGCACUGAUUUGCCUAACAACUGUUGGAUAUAAAGACUGUUGUACACAAAGACUGAUGAAGAUCAUCCACUGUGAAGACCAAAGCACUCAUGAAGACCAAAGCCCUGUUGAAGAAAAGCACUGAUGAACCAAAGGCUUGAUCAACCAAAGGUGAACCACUGCCCAACAACAACAGUGGUUCACCAUCAACAACAGUUAUUCUACCUUUGUUUAUAUUACAGUGUUUAUGUUUAUAUAUAACAGUAUUUAUCACAUCAGUGUUUUAUAGUCUGUUAGGUUGUUAGAUGUCAUCACCUCAGUGU